This 99-nucleotide microRNA precursor is filed under the name Dasypus novemcinctus (nine-banded armadillo). Its description in RNAcentral is "miRNA (ENSDNOG00000042036.1)". The record is from RNAcentral. Lineage: Eukaryota; Metazoa; Chordata; Mammalia; Cingulata; Dasypodidae.
CCGCCCCCGCCUGCUCCCCGCCCCCGGAGCCGACUGGUGGCUGCGGCUACCCCGGGACUGGGUUCCCUCAGACAAGAGGGAGGGUGGAGGAGGAAGCGG